This 488-nucleotide ribosomal RNA is filed under the name uncultured bacterium. Its description in RNAcentral is "partial 16S ribosomal RNA". The record is from RNAcentral.
GUAGUUAGCCGGGGCUUCCUCCUCAGGUACCGUCAUUGUGUUCGUCCCUGAGGACAGAGGUUUACAAUCCGAGAACCUUCUUCCCUCACGCGGCGUUGCUGGGUCAGGCUUUCGCCCAUUGCCCAAUAUUCCCCACUGCUGCCUCCCGUAGGAGUCUGGACCGUGUCUCAGUUCCAGUGUGGCCGAUCACCCUCUCAGGUCGGCUACCCAUCGUAGUCUUGGUGGGCCGUUACCUCACCAACUAACUAAUGGGACGCGAACUCACCCUUUUGCGGAUUGCUCCUUUUACCUCAUGGCCAUGUGGCCCCGUGGUCUUAUGCGGUAUUAGCAACUGUUUCCAGUUGUUAUCCCCCUCAAAAGGACAGAUUGUUCACGCGUUACUCACCCGUCCGCCGCUCGAACACGGAACCGAAGCUCCAUGUCCUCGCUCGACUUGCAUGUGUUAGGCACGCCGCCAGCGUUCGUCCUGAGCCAGAAUCGAACCCUGA